CCUACGGGAGGCAGCAGUGGGGAAUAUUGCACAAUGGGGGGAACCCUGAUGCAGCGACGCCGCGUGGGUGAAGGAGUAUUUCGGUAUGUAAAGCCCUAUCAGCAGGGAAGAACAAUGACGGUACCUGACUAAGAAGCACCGACUAAAUACGUGCCAGCAGCAGCGGUAAUCCGUAGGGUGCAAGCGUUAGCCGGAUUUAGUGGGUGUAAAGGGAGCGCAGGCGGCGCGUUAAGCCUGGGGUGAAAGCCCGCGGCCCAACCGCGGGACUGCAUUGGGAACUGGCGGGCUGGAGUGCGGGAGGGGUAGGCGGAAUGCGUGGUGUAGCGGUGAAAUGCGUAGAUAUGAGGAGGAACACCAGUGGCGAAGGCGGCUUACUGGACGGUGACUGACGCUGAGGCUCGAAAGCGUGGGGAGCAAACAGGAUUAGAUACCCGAGUAGUC
This 441-nucleotide ribosomal RNA is filed under the name uncultured bacterium. RNAcentral's name for it is "partial 16S ribosomal RNA". It matches the Rfam family "Bacterial small subunit ribosomal RNA", at positions 338 to 795 of the family's 1533-position model. The record is from RNAcentral.